Long non-coding RNA from Dreissena polymorpha, 2635 nucleotides. RefSeq lists it as uncharacterized. NCBI's taxonomy places the organism in Eukaryota, Metazoa, Mollusca, Bivalvia, Myida, Dreissenidae. The transcript has 3 exons. The record is from RefSeq and is a predicted model, not a curated record.
UUGACAAAACACACAAAAUAUUGAUAACAUGUUUUAAUGGGAUUUUAUUAAGUGCAAAAGACAUGUACAUUUAUAAAAAAAAAAUCAAAACAUUUGGUUAACAUCUUUUGUUGUGAAAAAGUGAUUACAUCUGACAGAACGGCCCUACUCAUUUAUAAAACUUGAACCCUUUCCCUAUGCAAUACAAACAAAACUGUUGCCAUAACUUAACAUCUAAAAUUUGAGAAAUUUUUUCAUUUAGGCUUCAAUAUCCUAACGCUUUUCGGAGAAAAAGUGGGGAUAUUGUGGUUAUCUCCGUCUUCUGUCCGUCCUGGCCACUUUCUCCUCCUACACUAUAAGCACUAGAACCUUGAAACUUACACACAUGGUAGCUAUGAGCAUAUGUGCGACCCUGCACUAUUUGGAAUUUUGAUCUGACCCCUGGGUCAAAAGUUAUGUGGGUUGGGGUGGGGCCGGGUCAGAGAUUUUUACUCAUUUUUAUGCCCCUGGAUCAAAAGAUCGGGGGUAUAUUGUUUUUCGCCUGUCUGUCAUUGUAUGUGUGUGUGUCCCAAAACUUUAACCUUGGUCAUAACUUUUGCAAUAUUCAAGAUAGCAACUUGAUAUUUGGCAUGCAUGUGUAUCUCAUGGAGCUGCAUAUUUUGAGUGCACCGGAGACUACACCGAAUGUCUUCAAAUUGAUACUGAAGCUCUCUUAUGGCAAUACGGAUAAUCUCAACUAUACAUGGCCCCAUUACCAACCCUGGGGUGCCCCGCCCACAUUGGCCACGCCCACAUAGACCACGCCCACCCAAAAUUGCCUUUUACUAUAAUUUCUUCAUUUCUACACCGAUUCACUUCAAAUUGAUACUGAACCUCUCUUAUGACAUUAUGGUUAAUCUCAACUAUGCAUGGCCCCAUAACCAACCCUGGGGCACCCGCCCACAUAGGCCACGCCCACCCAAAAUUGCCUUUUACUAUAAUAUCUUCAUUUCUACACCGAUUCACAUCUAAUUGAUACCGAACUUCUCUUAUGACAAUACGUUCAAUCUCAACUAUGCAUAAAACCAUUACCAACCCUGGGGGAGCCCUGGGUCAAACAUGCGGCGUGGGGAUACACGUCGGCCUCAACCGCGCCAUUUCUAGUUUAUAUUUUUGAAAUCACCCAUAUUUGUGUAAAGUUUGGAGAAAAAUCAAGAAAAACAUAUUUUAACAAUGAAAUACAUUUAAGUUGUUUGAUGAUAUUUUCAUGUAUUUCAACGUUUCCAAUGUCCAGAUAAAUACCCUAUUUGUACCCAUUGAAAACCUUUAAAACUUUAAUUUUGCAUUGUUAUUUUGUGUUGGGCUUGAAGAAAAAAGAUUGACCUGUAAUGCAAAUGUUUACAUUAUAUCUCGCAAUCAUAACAAUUGUAGUGGUGACCGGGUUUUAUCAUUAUUAUAUGAUUAUUAGUGCUUGUGGUCAUAUUUCAGAUGCCCAGGGGCCUUUAUGGUUGGGUUAGUGAGGGGUGCUCCCUCCCUUCCUUAAUUGAUUUUUAGCUCCACUGGCCAAAGGCCAGCGAGGCGUAUGUCAUAGUCCUGUGUCCGUCAUGCGUGCGUCCGUCCGUGCCUGCGUGCGUCCUUGUCCUUAACUGUAGGAUCUAGGGCUACCACAUUUUGUAUGUAGUGAGAUAUAGUAGUUCUCUAUGUGUCCAAUAAUUAUGUUGAUGAAGGUGGCAGUGGUAAUGACUUGAUAUGUCUGUGAGAUAUGAAUGCCAAAGUCUUCGUUUUACAUGACAUGAAUUUUUAUGUAAAAGUGGUGGUUCUUCAUAAAUUCUACAUGUUCUUUUCAAAUGAUGACCUCUACAAAGUUGUUCCAGGAGUACCAUAUUGCCUGACAAUCUUUUGUUUUAUUGUUAACUUAAACUGUACUUGAUUCUAGCAUGCCACUAUACUUCUUUGAAGUAAUUUGAGCAAAUUUCUCACUGUUUAGUAAUGUAUACAUUGUUUAAGGUACAUUAUAAUUUCACAUUUUGUAGGUGGACUUCAAUAUGUAUGAUCUACUUAUGCUGCCACAAUGUAAAGGCAACAAUCACUGGGUUUUGCUGUUUGCAAGUGUUAUGUCCAGGACUGUAACCAUUUACGACUCGUUGGGUGGUAACAACAAGGCAUUGUUCGAUUUGUUCUGCCAGUUCAUGUGUCAACGAGCGCAAAUUGUGAACGAUGGCUUGGAAAAAAUUCAGUUCAGAGUUCAAAGCGCCACCUUGCAACAAACAGCGCCAUGGAAACAGCUGUGGAGUGUUUGCAUUGAUGACUGCCAAAUGUAUGGUCAUGAAAAAGCAUCCCACAAUGUUGCGACAGGCCCAUGAUUCAGCUUAUCAAGACUAGUCGUGAGACGCAGACUUCUGAUUCAUGGAGUGCGGCAAACAUAUCUGUGUGACUCGAUCACUCCACUGUAAAGACCCGCACGGCAUUAAAAUGGAUAUUAUCAAUAUGUGUUGUUGCUCGAAAAUAUGUUUUGUAGCAGGAAGUGCUUUGGGCUCGAUUAAUCUGAGAACUCAACAAAAUAUUAAUAAAAUCCUUCUGUGCCUUUUAGUUCUGAAAACAGAAGUAGCCAGUUGGUAUUACACAUCUCCUAAACAAGUACAGCACAAUAAAACUGAAGGUUUUAAAUCCUACAUUU